UUAAGCGACCAAGCGUACACGGUGGAUGCCCUGGCAGUCAGAGGCGAUGAAGGACGUGCUAAUCUGCGAAAAGCGCCGGUAAGGUGAUAUGAACCGUUAUAACCGGCGAUGUCCGAAUGGGGAAACCCAGUGUGACUCGUCACACUAUCAUUAACUGAAUCCAUAGGUUAAUGAGGCGAACCGGGGGAACUGAAACAUCUAAGUACCCCGAGGAAAAGAAAUCAACCGAGAUUCCCCCAGUAGCGGCGAGCGAACGGGGAGGAGCCCAGAGCCUGAAUCAGCAUGUGUGUUAGUGGAAGCGUCUGGAAAGGCGCGCGAUACAGGGUGAGAGCCCCGUACACAAAAGCGCAUAUGCUGUGAGCUCGAUGAGUAGGGCGGGACACGUGGUAUCCUGUCUGAAUAUGGGGGGACCAUCCUCCAAGGCUAAAUACUCCUGACUGACCGAUAGUGAACCAGUACCGUGAGGGAAAGGCGAAAAGAACCCCGGCGAGGGGAGUGAAACAGAACCUGAAACCGUGUACGUACAAGCAGUGGGAGCCCCACCACUAAGCCAGUGGUGAACUCCACAUACGCAUCCUUUGCGGAAGAUGCGGUUAACGGCGCGCAAGCGACGUUCAACCUCAAAAGAAGCAGAGGGGGCUUAGUGGUGGGGUGACUGCGUACCUUUUGUAUAAUGGGUCAGCGACUUAUAUUCUGUAGCAAGGUUAACCGCAUAGGGGAGCCGAAGGGAAACCGAGUCUUAAUUGGGCGUUAAGUUGCAGGGUAUAGACCCGAAACCCGGUGAUCUAGCCAUGGGCAGGUUGAAGGUUGGGUAACACUAACUGGAGGACCGAACCGACUAAUGUUGAAAAAUUAGCGGAUGACCUGUGGCUGGGGGUGAAAGGCCAAUCAAACCGGGAGAUAGCUGGUUCUCCCCGAAAGCUAUUUAGGUAGCGCCUCGUGAAUUCAUCUCCGGGGGUAGAGCACUGUUUCGGCUAGGGGGCCAUCCCGGCUUACCAACCCGAUGCAAACUGCGAAUACCGGAGAAUGUUAUCACGGGAGACACACGGCGGGUGCUAACGUCCGUCGUGAAGAGGGAAACAACCCAGACCGCCAGCUAAGGUCCCAAAGUCAUGGUUAAGUGGGAAACGAUGUGGGAAGGCCCAGACAGCCAGGAUGUUGGCUUAGAAGCAGCCAUCAUUUAAAGAAAGCGUAAUAGCUCACUGGUCGAGUCGGCCUGCGCGGAAGAUGUAACGGGGCUAAACCAUGCACCGAAGCUGCGGCAGCGACACUGUGUGUUGUUGGGUAGGGGAGCGUUCUGUAAGCCGUUGAAGGUGUGUCGUGAGGCAUGCUGGAGGUAUCAGAAGUGCGAAUGCUGACAUAAGUAACGAUAAAGCGGGUGAAAAGCCCGCUCGCCGGAAGACCAAGGGUUCCUGUCCAACGUUAAUCGGGGCAGGGUGAGUCGACCCCUAAGGCGAGGCCGAAAGGCGUAGUCGAUGGGAAACGGGUUAAUAUUCCCGUACUUGGUGUUACUGCGAAGGGGGACGGAGAAGGCUAUGUUGGCCGGGCGACGGUAGUCCCGGUUUAAGCGUGUAGGUGUGUGUUCCAGGUAAAUCCGGUUCACUUUAACACUGAGGCGUGAUGACGAGGCACCACGGUGCUGAAGCAACAAAUGCCCUGCUUCCAGGAAAAGCCUCUAAGCAUCAGGUAACAUCAAAUCGUACCCCAAACCGACACAGGUGGUCAGGUAGAGAAUACCAAGGCGCUUGAGAGAACUCGGGUGAAGGAACUAGGCAAAAUGGUGCCGUAACUUCGGGAGAAGGCACGCUGACACGUAGGUGAAGUGAUUUACUCAUGGAGCUGAAGUCAGUCGAAGAUACCAGCUGGCUGCAACUGUUUAUUAAAAACACAGCACUGUGCAAACACGAAAGUGGACGUAUACGGUGUGACGCCUGCCCGGUGCCGGAAGGUUAAUUGAUGGGGUCAGCGCAAGCGAAGCUCCUGAUCGAAGCCCCGGUAAACGGCGGCCGUAACUAUAACGGUCCUAAGGUAGCGAAAUUCCUUGUCGGGUAAGUUCCGACCUGCACGAAUGGCGUAAUGAUGGCCAGGCUGUCUCCACCCGAGACUCAGUGAAAUUGAACUCGCUGUGAAGAUGCAGUGUACCCGCGGCAAGACGGAAAGACCCCGUGAACCUUUACUAUAGCUUGACACUGAACAUUGAGCCUUGAUGUGUAGGAUAGGUGGGAGGCUUUGAAGCGUGGACGCCAGUCUGCGUGGAGCCGACCUUGAAAUACCACCCUUUAAUGUUUGAUGUUCUAACGUGGACCCGUAAUCCGGGUUGCGGACAGUGUCUGGUGGGUAGUUUGACUGGGGCGGUCUCCUCCUAAAGAGUAACGGAGGAGCACGAAGGUUGGCUAAUCCUGGUCGGACAUCAGGAGGUUAGUGCAAUGGCAUAAGCCAGCUUGACUGCGAGCGUGACGGCGCGAGCAGGUGCGAAAGCAGGUCAUAGUGAUCCGGUGGUUCUGAAUGGAAGGGCCAUCGCUCAACGGAUAAAAGGUACUCCGGGGAUAACAGGCUGAUACCGCCCAAGAGUUCAUAUCGACGGCGGUGUUUGGCACCUCGAUGUCGGCUCAUCACAUCCUGGGCUGAAGUAGGUCCCAAGGGUAUGGCUGUUCGCCAUUUAAAGUGGUACGCGAGCUGGGUUUAGAACGUCGUGAGACAGUUCGGUCCCUAUCUGCCGUGGGCGCUGGAAGACUGAGGGGGGCUGCUCCUAGUACGAGAGGACCGGAGUGGACGCAUCACUGGUGUUCGGGUUGUCAUGCCAAUGGCACUGCCCGGUAGCUAAAUGCGGAAAAGAUAAGUGCUGAAAGCAUCUAAGCACGAAACUUGCCCCGAGAUGAGUCUUCCCUGAGACCUUGAGUCUCCUGAAGGAACGUUAAAGACGAUGACGUUGAUAGGCCGGGUGUGUAAGCGCAGCGAUGCGUUGAGCUAACCGGUACUAAUGAACCGUGAGGCUUAACCUU
Molecule: ribosomal RNA, 3002 nt
Filed under: Salmonella enterica subsp. arizonae
Lineage: Bacteria; Pseudomonadati; Pseudomonadota; Gammaproteobacteria; Enterobacterales; Enterobacteriaceae
Description: 23S ribosomal RNA
Rfam family: Bacterial large subunit ribosomal RNA
Source: RNAcentral